This 466-nucleotide ribosomal RNA is filed under the name uncultured bacterium. RNAcentral describes it as "partial 16S ribosomal RNA". It matches the Rfam family "Bacterial small subunit ribosomal RNA", at positions 28 to 507 of the family's 1533-position model. The record is from RNAcentral.
GAUGAACGCUGGCGGCGUGCUUAACACAUGCAAGUCGAACGAUGAAGCUCAGCUUGCUGGGUGGAUUAGUGGCGAACGGGUGAGUAACACGUGAGUAACCUGCCCUUAACUCUGGGAUAAGCCUGGGAAACUAGGUCUAAUACCGGAUAGGAGCGCCUACCGCAUGGUGGGUGUUGGAAAGAUUUAUCGGUUUUGGAUGGACUCGCGGCCUAUCAGCUUGUUGGUGAGGUAAUGGCUCACCAAGGCGACGACGGGUAGCCGGCCUGAGGGGGUGACCGGCCACACUGGGACUGAGACAGGGGCCAGACUCCUACGGGAGGCAGCAGUGGGGAAUAUUGCACAAUGGGCGAAAGCCUGAUGCAGCGACGCCGCGUGAGGGAUGACGGCCUUCGGGUUGUAAACCUCUUUCAGUAGGGAAGAAGCGAAAGUGACGGUACCUGCAGAAGAAGCACCGGCUAACUACGUG